Molecule: long non-coding RNA, 838 nt
Filed under: Malus domestica (apple)
Lineage: Eukaryota; Viridiplantae; Streptophyta; Magnoliopsida; Rosales; Rosaceae
Description: long non-coding RNA (MDOM_LNC015876)
Source: RNAcentral
CGUGGUGGGCUGCGACUUUUGACUGAUUGAGAGUCCUCCAUCCGCAGCUCCUCCGUCUUCCUCCCAAGCCUUUUACCUUUUCUUUCUUUCUUCUCCAAAACUAGCAAUCUGAGAUUUGAACCUCUCUCUCUAAGAAGCAGCGGCAUGCUUUUCCAAACGUAAUCUGCAAUUUAAUCAAACAGCCACCGAAUUUUCUGGAAUCCUGUCAACGCAGAGAUGCUUCGGAUUUUGAUCGGUCAACGCCAGCUGCUUACCUGAGCUCCAAAAGAUCCAACAGUGAUGACGUCCUCCACCUCUGUUUCUGUUUGGCUGAUUCUGCUGUUUGGCUUCUUUCACCUCUACAAGCUUGCUGCCAAUGUCGUCUCUGUGUGUUAUUGAAUUUGGGAGUGUUUGGUUGUGGGAACCGGAAUGAACUAAUGAAUGAAUGAAUGAAUGACUGAAUGACUGGAAACAUUCCCGAAGAGCUUGGGGGUUUGUCAGACUUGGUGAGCUCGGAUCUUUACUUGGCAACCUUGCAAAACUGCGUUUCCUAUAUGAACCCGCAUCCUUUUGUUAGAUAAAAUCUAUCGUCUUUCUUUUUUAUUCGAUAUGCUAAUCUGCUGUUUUUAAUUGUUCCAUUGGAGUGACUUUCUUCCUUAAAGUCCUUGUGCCGGAUGCAUAUAAUUUAUAGUAUGAUCCCUGGUUUCAAGAUUCACAAGAAGGGAACAUCCAGUCAUUGCAAGUCCUGUGAAUUUCAUACACUUUCAUCUCAGUAAGAGGGAGGAGAGAGUGAAAAGUUACUAAUUUCUCUACCAUCGGAGAAUGCAAAUAACAUAUAGUUUUGCCAUGGAAUGCAGGG